AUGACAAAGAAAAAUAAGACCUACUAUCUGCUGGAUGGGCAGGAGGAGCCUACGAGGCCUAUACAUGGCAACUGUAUUGGCAAGGUGAUGUUCUUAACGGUCGUUGCUAGGCCAAGGUGGGACCGUGAAGGAAACGUGACCUUCUCUGGGAAAAUCGGUAUCUGGCCAUUCGUGAAAGAAGUUCCUGCUCAGAGGAGAAGUGAUAACAAGCCAAGAGGUACAAUAGAGACAAAGUCAAUAAAGGUCGACAGAAAAGUGAUGAGCACUACUAGAAAAAGGCUUACUAGUGGCGCACCAGUUUUGCCUACUAAUGGCACACUACUGGUGCGCCACUAG
RNAcentral lists this ribosomal RNA (336 nucleotides) under Triticum aestivum (bread wheat). Its description in RNAcentral is "partial small subunit ribosomal RNA". Lineage: Eukaryota; Viridiplantae; Streptophyta; Magnoliopsida; Poales; Poaceae. The record is from RNAcentral.